CCUACGGGUGGCAGCAGUAGGGAAUUUUCGUCAAUGGGCGCAAGCCUGAACGAGCGAUGCCGCGUGAGUGAAGAAGGCCUUCGGGUCGUAAAGCUCUGUUGCGGGGGAAAAAAGGCAGCAUCAGGAAAUGGGUGCUGACUGAUGGUGCCCCGCCAGAAAGUCAUGGCUAACUACGUGCCAGCAGCCGCGGUAAUACGUAGGUGGCGAGCGUUAUCCGGAAUGGUUGGGCGUAAAGGGUGCGCAGGCGGUCCUGCAAGUCUGGAGUGAAACGGAUGAGCUCAACUCAUGCAUGGCUUUGGAAACUGGGGGACUGGAGAGCGGGAGAGGGCGGUGGAACUCCAUGUGUAGCGGUAAAAUGCGUAGAUAUAUGGAAGAACACCAGUGGCGAAGGCGGCCGACUGGCCUGUUGCUGACGCUGAGGCACGAAAGCGUGGGGAGCAAAUAGGAUUAGAUACCCUGGUAGUC
This 465-nucleotide ribosomal RNA is filed under the name uncultured bacterium. Its description in RNAcentral is "partial 16S ribosomal RNA". It matches the Rfam family "Bacterial small subunit ribosomal RNA", at positions 338 to 795 of the family's 1533-position model. The record is from RNAcentral.